This is a long non-coding RNA of Vigna unguiculata (cowpea), 1553 nucleotides long. RefSeq lists it as uncharacterized. NCBI's taxonomy places the organism in Eukaryota, Viridiplantae, Streptophyta, Magnoliopsida, Fabales, Fabaceae. The record is from RefSeq and is a predicted model, not a curated record.
ACUCAUUCUCCGCUACCAGUGGUUUCCUCCUCCGUCGUCGACGUCGAUACCUUGCUGGCCACGAAAGGCGAAUCAACCACCAAGCUACGACCUCAGCGACGACAAAGGCCGACCACCACGAACAGGUAUCUGCCAUUGGUGUUUGUGUGAUCCAACCCCCAAUUUCGAGCCAUUCUGUGGUUGGUGUUGCUGUGAUUUAUCCCAUUUAGAUUUCAUAGCUGUUGCCGGAAAAGGCUUCUCUGGAUUAGAGAUGAUUAGAAAAAAUCUGACAGAUGUGCCUAGACAGGAUGUGUUAAACUAUUAUGGGGCUGUGAAAGCUGGUUGAUUCAGCUGUUUAGAGAUUGUUGUAUGAGACUAUAUGCCAAUUAUAAUGAUUUUGUCAAUUGGCAUUGAACCAAAACUCUGGCCACUCAAAUAAAAUUUGUCUUGUCUUAGUGUAGAAUCAUGUGUUUAUCAGAGCAAGACAUUCUUUUGACCUCUAAUGAAGGUUGUUCCUAUUGUUCUUAUCUACAAACUAUUCAUUUUGUAAUUGUAUACAUCAUCCUGGAAGAACUCCAUUUGAUUUUGUUGUGUUAGUUAUUGAACAUACAAGGCUUUAUCCAUUAUUCUAGGCUUGAAAGAAAGAAGAGAGACUUUAAUUCUGUAGAGAAGAGAAUGGACUCCAUUGUCAAUGUGGCAGUGGAAGAGAUAUGUAGUGGAAUUGAAGAUGGAAUCACUCUUGCAGCCUUAUGGGUCAAACUUCAAGGCUCACCCACUCUUUCAUCCUCCAAUCUCCAUUUGAACCGCACCGUCAAAAGAGCCAUAUGGAGGAACCUCCUUUGCAUUCCGGGUCUUCGUUUUGAACCACAACCAUCUUCUUCGGAAUUGGAGGAUGCUGAGAAGGUCAAUAUAAAGAUUUUUCCUCAAUUGAGCCUUGUUGACAAAGGUUUGAGUUUGAAAUUACUAAAUUCAACUCCCCAGAAGAGGAGGAGGAGGAGGAUGCAAAUGGAACCACAUUUCAAACAGAUGUUCUAAAGGAUUAUUCACCUCAAAUGAAAGCUAUUUGUGACAAACUUGCAAAAGCCAAUGGCAAGGUUCAUUUUCAUUCAGUUCUCUUUUAAGUUACCUUCCACUGCAGCUAAUACACUCAUUUAUGCUCGCGUUUUUAUUGCGAUAUAUUUCUUCAAGGUUCUUCUUGUGUCGGAUAUUAAAAAUGAUCUUGGUUACUGUGGAUCGCGUCCAAGACAAAAGGGCUUGGAGACAAAUUUCUCAAAGGUUGAAAGCAGAUGAUAUUGUGGAGCAGUUUGAUGCUAAGGUGAAUGGCAGGGUUGGUUAGUUUACACUGUAUCAUUACUUUUAUGUCUCAUUUUGAUGAUUUUUUAGUCUCUGCAAUGUCUCUCUUGGAAAGCAUUGCAAAUCAUCUUCUUCUUAUGGAGAGGAAAUUCAACUUAUCAAGUAAAGAUUUGUUUAUUAGUGCUGCGUCUCCUUGAUGAUUCCAUAAAUUUGAAUAUUAUUGCCUUUUCACUUCAAAUAUAUUGGGUGUUAAAUGUAAACAGAUAUGUAUUCUUAGUUAU